GGGGCUGUAGCUCAGUUGGUUAGAGCACCUGCUUUGCAAGCAGGGGGUCAGGAGUUCGACUCUCCUCAGCUCCACCA
Molecule: transfer RNA, 77 nt
Filed under: Candidatus Peribacter sp.
Lineage: Bacteria; Candidatus Peregrinibacteriota; Candidatus Peribacteria; Candidatus Peribacterales
Description: tRNA-Ala
Rfam family: tRNA
About the family: Transfer RNA (tRNA) molecules are approximately 80 nucleotides in length. Their secondary structure includes four short double-helical elements and three loops (D, anti-codon, and T loops).
Source: RNAcentral